RNAcentral lists this ribosomal RNA (358 nucleotides) under uncultured Archaeospora. RNAcentral's name for it is "partial 28S ribosomal RNA". The record is from RNAcentral. Lineage: Eukaryota; Fungi; Glomeromycota; Glomeromycetes; Archaeosporales; Archaeosporaceae.
GAGAGUUAAACAGUACGUGAAAUUGUUGAAAGGGAAACGAUUGAAGUCAGUCAUGCCGGCGUUGGAUUCAGCUUGCUUCGCGGAGCUUGCGCAUUUCCUCGCAUGGCAGGUCAGCGUCAGUUUUGCGCGGCGUGAAAAGGCUCGGGUAAGGUAGCUCUCUUCGGGGAGUGUUAUAGACCUGGGCAAAUGCGCAGCGCGGGACUGAGGAUUGCAGCGGACACCUCUUCGGAGGCGCGGCGACCGAACCCUGCUCGGCCACCCUCGUUCGAUAGCGUGCUAGCGGACGCGGGAGCGGCAGUGCACCGGAACAGGCAAGCCAGCGGUUCGCUUAGGAUGCUGACGUAAUGGCUUUAAACGA